This 821-nucleotide ribosomal RNA is filed under the name Geosmithia sp. 8 YTH-2018. RNAcentral's name for it is "LSU rRNA". It matches the Rfam family "Eukaryotic large subunit ribosomal RNA", at positions 83 to 937 of the family's 3401-position model. Lineage: Eukaryota; Fungi; Ascomycota; Sordariomycetes; Hypocreales; Bionectriaceae. The record is from RNAcentral.
GUAACGGCGAGUGAAGCGGCAACAGCUCAAAUUUGAAAUCUGGCCCCCAGGCCCGAGUUGUAAUUUGUAGAGGAUGCUUCUGGCGACGCGCCUUCCGAGUUCCCUGGAACGGGACGCCAAAGAGGGUGAGAGCCCCGUCCGGUCGUGCGCCUAGCCUCUGUGAAGCUCCUUCGACGAGUCGAGUAGUUUGGGAAUGCUGCUCUAAAUGGGAGGUAUACGUCUUCUAAAGCUAAAUACCGGCCAGAGACCGAUAGCGCACAAGUAGAGUGAUCGAAAGAUGAAAAGCACUUUGAAAAGAGGGUUAAAUAGUACGUGAAAUUGCUGAAAGGGAAGCGCUUAUGACCAGACUUGGGCUUGGUGAAUCAUCCGGCGUUCUCGCCGGUGCACUUUGCCGGUCCAGGCCAGCAUCAGUUCGCUUCGGGGGAUAAAGGCUUCGGGAACGUAGCUCCUCCGGGAGUGUUAUAGACCGUUGCGUAAUACCCUGGGGUGGACUGAGGUACGCGUUCUGCAAGGAUGCUGGCGUAAUGGUCAUCAGUGACCCGUCUUGAAACACGGACCAAGGAGUCGUCUUCGUAUGCGAGUGUUCGGGUGUCAAACCCCUACGCGUAAUGAAAGUGAACGUAGGAGAGAGCUUCGGCGCAUCUCCGACCGAUCCUGAUGUUCUCGGAUGGAUUUGAGUAAGAGCAUACGGGGCCGGACCCGAAAGAAGGUGAACUAUGCCUGUAUAGGGUGAAGCCAGAGGAAACUCUGGUGGAGGCUCGCAGCGGUUCUGACGUGCAAAUCGAUCGUCAAAUAUGGGCAUGGGGGCGAAAGACUAAUCG